UGUAGUCAGUAGUAUUGACUGUUUGGCAAGCAAGCUAAAUCGUGGUUUUGUAUUUCGACCCUUAUAUACUGUGAACAAUCAAAAUAAUUGAAAUGGCAAUGAAAUUUUUGACAAUCGAAUGCAAAAAAUACGAAAUGUAUAAAGCUGUGAAAUUUACAAACUCGCGUUUUUUACCUCUCAAAAUCCCGUGUUAAAGUGCCUAAUACGGUUUUAAACAAUCAUUGUAAACAAACAAAAAACGCCUAUUACAAGUAAAGAAAAGCAAUUACAUUUUAUGUACAUUUUUAGGUAAAUCGAACAUUUACUAAUUUUGAAAUGGUUUUGUUUGAUAGGGUCUACGAUUGCAUAUUUAUCAGGUUUUUCACAUAUUUUAUAGUUGGCUUUCUUUACGUGGAUUUGUUUUAUUAAAAUUGUGAUACAUCUUAAUGAAUUGAAUGACUAUAAAAUGCAUUUAGAUUUCAUGCAGCAGCUGUUAUUAGGCACUGCGGUUUUCUGUUGUUUAUGUGUUGUCCAUGUUAUUGUUUGCAAUCGCCAUGGCAGAUUUUGAUACUCAGGACAUACUAGCAGUUGUGAGGGAAAGCGACAGAAAGGGUAAAAACGAUGACGCAUUUUUUUUGCAUGUUGCAACCCCUGGUAAGCCACCAUCUGCAUUGCAUAGAAAAGGGUAUUCCUUAUCUGAAGGAUCAUGGCUGGAGAAAUGUCAGCUAUUAGAAAACUGGAUUCAGUAGAAGAUGGAAGAUAAACAGGCAAUUUUCAUCCGGAGAUGUUUUGGACAAUAUAGUGGCUGAGUUAGACCACGAAACCACAGAUUCAAAAUACAAAGAUGCUGAUGACGUGAUCUUUAAACGUAUGCAGGAAUUCGUCAAUGAUGUGAACGCCUAUAAUUGAAAAUAAUUAUUUGUUGAUAAAGUUCAAUACAAUGUAUCAGUUCAAUAAUCAGAAUAUAUAAGAAAUGAAAAAUAAAAUAUUUGCCAUUUAAAAAAAAAAAAUAGGCUUAAUAUAGGCAGAAUUUCCACCGUCCAUCUCGAAAGGCAAAUUUAUAUUGCUAUCUGUAAAAUAGUGAAAUAAAGGAUAAAUAAAGAGUAUUUCAUCCUAAAACAAGAGCGAUAAUCAUAGUUGCUAAUGAAACCAAUAUUUCACGUAAUUAGUGCUUCUUUUUAUGAAGUUUUGCACAAGAUGAAAGACGAUUGUGUGUUGCUUCAGUGUCUUUCCAGAUCGAGAGAUGGAAAAUAAUUUAUUUUUAUGCAAGAAUAAAAAUUGUACAAAAACGGUUCCACGAUACAUAUAAUUAUGUCUACAAAUUGUCAAUUGUUUCCAAAAUAAAAGUGUACUAGUUUGUGCAAAAAGGAGUUCUUGCAGAUAAUAUGAACCCAACUUUUAUGUAAAAUCGCAGUUGAUCACACGGACAAUAAAAAAUGAAAAAAAAACUACUUGGAAACCAAUGCAUUCGUAUAAUAUACAUGUUAUUAUAUUAAUUGAGGAUCGCCUACCAUAAUUAUCAAAGUUUCUUACUUAAACUUGUGAAUAGUUUUACUUUGCCUGCAUGGUUUUAUCUACUAAUAUUAAAAGCUUCUGUAGUCAAAUGCUACGUGUCUGUAUUUUAUGAUGACCCUUUUCGUCCGGUAUCCUUCUAAUGUUCGUUCGUAAUAGUUUUAUUUUGAUAGGUAAUUUUAAAAUAGAUAAAAUAUUAUUUUAGUAUGGCUCUUAUAUAACGUGCUUUCUUCCAUGAAAGUACGAGAAAAUGCAGAAUUUAUGAAAAGUAAAAAAAAUGGAGAUUACAACCAGAAAAUGAAUACUUCUUACAACUAUUUUUUCUCAAAGCAAGAUCACGAGAACACAAUGAGGAAAAUUGAAAAAAAAAAAUCUCCGAGCUUGACAUUAUAGUGAGUCCGAAAAUAUGAAUUUGAAAAAAAGGUUAAAGAUUAUUAACUAUUUAAAAACAUGCGCUUCCUCUAGGAAAAAAAUAUACAAUGGCUAGUGAGUAUAAAAUUGAUUCUGGAGUGACAAGAUUUAAAAUGUGUAACCUUCGGAUAACAUGGAUUACAGAAAUGAAAAAUUAGUGAUAUAUGUUCUCUUAUUGUACGUAAGUUACUCCAUAAGUUUUUUUCUUUUCUGUAAAACUUUGCUGGAAUUCUAGAUGGAGGAUGAAUAAAUCCACGAUUUAUUGGAUUGUUUUAUUGUAUGAGUGUACAAGUGGGCCCUUUUAGUAAUUUAUUUGCUUUAAUGCUCUUCAAAUAAAUGUUCAUGAACUGUGAUAAAGAUUUAGUCCAACUCUAUUGCUAACUGUAAUUUUGCUAAUAGUGCAACGAGUACUGUCCUUCACGCGGUUGGAGAGUUUUAAUUAGUAAAACUAAUCAGGAUUAUGUUGAUAAUAAAUGAAGCACAAAAAGAAUUUCUAUACAGAAAAACUUCAUCAGGGCAUAAUUCGAAACGUCGGCAAAUUACAUCGUUUUGCUAACACCGGUUUUGCUUCAUUUAUUAUCAACAUGAGUUUACCUGGUGGCAAUCAUGCACUAAUCAGGAUUAUGUUUAAACUGGGGAAACGGAGGUUUAGUUUAUUAUCAUACAAGAAUAUGUGCACGCGACAGGAAAUAUUAACGCUAUUCAAUGAAGGUUACUUUUGACCCCCUUUACGAUUUUGAAUAGCCAUUUUUAUUCUUUUACCGUCAGGUUCGGUACGGGUUCAUCAUUAUUGAGAAUCAAUAAAACAAAAGGUUUCAAAGGGUAAAUGUUGAAACGCUUCCGUACGACUCAUAUCAUUAUACGCUUUUGAAUAAAAUAAUGAAAUACGAUAUGUCUUGUCAGUUCUUCCUGGAUUAUUAUGUAUAAAAGUAAUGCAGUCGUUACUUUUAGACAUAUUUUGUUCAACUUUACUCAUAGACGAAGAAGUAAUAUCUGUUAGGAGAUAAGUAUGGAGAUGCGUGCAGCAAUGUUGAUGUUGUUGUUGGCAGUCGUAUUGAUCAGCUUCGCUGAGGCUACUUCUGAACCUACUACUAAAGAAAUUCGGCUACAGAAACUAAAACGUUUCUGGUAUAACCACCUAAAAUGGAGAAGAAAGUGGAUGCAGCAAAAUCCUGCUCCAAAAGACAGUUUGGACGAAAUUUUGACAACGUUCGACGAAGACAGUGAUGAGUUGGCAUACCAAGACACCAUGGCCGAAAAAUUGCAAAAAGUAUUCGAAGACAUUUACGAAUGAAAUGAAAUCACAACAGACACCCAAGUUUCAUAACCACAGUUUGAAAUUAUAAAUUAUUCUGUUCAACCAACAAUAAAACAUGGGAAAAUCACAGUUUUCAAUAGUGUUUCAGUUUAGAUGUCUCAAUGAAAUUUUCGAUAAAUUUCCAUUAUGUUUAUGACACUAUAAUUACUUAUUAUGACAAACGAUCUCUCUCAUUUUUCAUUUUGUAAUAUUCGGCAAAAAUAAAAUUGAA
This is a non-coding RNA of Styela clava, 3431 nucleotides long. Lineage: Eukaryota; Metazoa; Chordata; Ascidiacea; Stolidobranchia; Styelidae. The record is from RefSeq and is a predicted model, not a curated record.